AUCAGGGUGGGCACCAUCUCAUCAGCUGCCAGUGCAGCUAGAAUAUAAGCAGGCAGAAAAAUGUGAAAAAGAGAGACUGGCCUAGCCUCCCAGCCUACAUAUUCCUUCCAUGCUGGAUGCUUCCUGCCCUCUAACAUCGAACACCAAGUUCUUCAGUUUUGGAACUCAGACUGGCUUUCUUGCUCCUCAGCCUGCAGACUGCCUAUUGUGGGAUUGAUAUGGUUUGGCCGUGUCUCGACCCAAAUCUCAACUUGAAUUAUAUCUCCCUGAAUUCCCGCGUGCUGUGGGAGGGAUCCUGGGGCAGAGAACCCUGACUAAUACAAAUGUGGAAGGACUAGACUGGCUUAGUCUUCAGGCCUACAUCUUUCUCCCGUGCUGGAUAAUUCCCACCCUUGAACAUCAUACUCCAAGUUCUUCAGCUCUGGGACUCAGACCUGCAACCACCGACUGUAGGCUGCACUGUCAGCUUCCCUACUUUUGAGGUUUUGGGACUCAGACUGGCUUCCUUGCUCCUCAGCUUGCAGCUGGCCUUUUGUGGGACUUCACCUUGUGUCGUCUCUUGAAGUUAGAGGUGACGAAAAAACUGAAGACCACAAGCCACAUCAACGACUUGGGUGAAUGAGCUACCACAGACCACUGUCCACACAUUCAGAAUAUCUUGCAAGAUUCCAUUCCUGUCUCCACCUUUCACUGGACUCCUUCUUCCUGGAACUACAUUCUUACCUAAAGUAUCCACCUAGAAGCUUUUCCUGCCACUGUUAAGGGAAGCUUAGUAUUUAAGCAUCACUACUGUGUCACACAGAGUAGUAGGUUUGAAGUAUAAGAAAACAUUCCUGGUUUCAAAGAUCUUGCAAUCAAAUAAGAAAGAUGGACAAAUAAAUGAAGGGUGAUGGUGUAGUGCCAUGGCACCUGGAGGAAGAAACUGCCAUAAGAUGCUGGUAUGAAAACUUCAGGAUGCUUGGAUGGAUUCUCACCUUAUCCCAUGUCCCAUGAGAAGCAGAUGUCAAGACAAGAGUAAACAUGCAGGGGUUUUAUUCUGUAAAAUGCCAGUGUAAGAGAAAAUAAAGAGACAGCCAUUUGCCUCUUCUUCUCUCUCUUUUAUUUUAUGUAAAUGGAUUUGUCCAAUGGGUGUUUCAGGAAGUCAGGGACCCCAAACGGAGGAACCGGCUGAAGCCAUGACAGAAGACCAUGGAUUAUGAAGAUUUUAUGGACAUUUAUUAGUUCCCCAAAUUAAUACUUUGGUAAUUUCUUAUGCCUGUCUUUACUGCAAUCUCUAAACAUAAAUUGUAAAGAUUUCAUGGACACUUAUCACUUCCCCAAUCAAUACCCUUGUGAUUUCCUAUGCCUGUCUUUACUUUAAUCUCUUAAUCCUGUCAGCCGAGAAGGAUGUAUAUUGUCUCAGGACCCUGUAAUAAUUGCGUUAACUACACAAAUUGUACAGCAUGUGUGUUUGAGCAAUAUGAAAUGUGGGCACCCUGAAAAAAGAACAGGAUAACAGCAAUUGCUCAGGGAAUAAGAGAGAUAACCUUAAACUCUGACCGCUGGUGAGCUGGGCAGAACAGAGCCAUAUUUCUCUUCUUUCAAAAGCAAAUGGGAGAAAUAUCGCUGAAUUCUUUUUCUCAGCAUGGAACGUCCCUGAGAAAGAGAAUGCGCACCUGGGGGUAUCGGCUUAUAAACAGCCCCCCUGGGCGUGGCCUGUCUCUUAUGGUCGAAACUGCAGAAGUGAAAUAUACUCCAGUCUCCCAUAGUGCUCCCAGGCUUAUUAGGAAGAGGAAAUUCCUGCCUAAUAAAUUUUGGUCAGACUGGUCGAUCUCAAAACCCUGUCUCCUGAUAAGAUGUUAUCAAUGGCAAUGGUGCCCGAAACUUCAUUAGCAAUUUUAAGUUUGCCUUGGUCCUGUGGUCCUGUGAUCUCGCCCUGCCUCCACUUGCCUCGUGAUAUUCUAUUACUCUGUUAAGUACUUGAUGUCUGUCACCCACACCUAUUCGCGCACUCCCUCCCCUUUUGAAAAUCCCUAAUAAAAACUUGCUGGUUUUUGUGGCUUGUGGGGCAUCACGGAUCCUACCAACAUGUGAUGUCUCCCCCGGAUGCCCAGCUUUAAAAUUUCUCUCUUUUGUACUCUGUCCCUUUAUUUCUCAAGCCAGCCAACGCUUAGGAAAAUAGAAAAGAACCUACGUGAUUAUCGGGGCAGGUCCCCCGAUAAAUGGGUGCCUAUAUUGACUGUAUUUUUCAGUUGCUGUGAUGUUUUCAAGGUGUAUCCAUGAUGUAGCAUGCAUCAGUGUGUCUUUCCUUUUUAUAGCCAAAUAAAAUUUCACUGUA
Molecule: long non-coding RNA, 2317 nt
Filed under: Homo sapiens (human)
Lineage: Eukaryota; Metazoa; Chordata; Mammalia; Primates; Hominidae
Description: HSALNT0279901
Source: RNAcentral